RNAcentral lists this long non-coding RNA (1350 nucleotides) under Marmota monax (woodchuck). Lineage: Eukaryota; Metazoa; Chordata; Mammalia; Rodentia; Sciuridae. The record is from RNAcentral.
CUCAUUCCAGCUGACCAGGGCGUGAAUGGGUGCAGCUCACCCUGUCAUCCCAGCCGCUCGGGAGACCGAGGCAGGAGGAUCGCAAGUUCAAAGCCAGCCUCAGCACUUUAGCAAGGCCCUAAGCAAUUCAGGGAGACCCUGUCUCUAAAUAAAAUAUAUUAAAAAAAAAAAAAGCUGGGGGUGUGGCUCAGUGGUUAAGUGUCCCUGGAUUCAAUUUUAUGAAGAUCAAAGUCAAGCCAAUGAGAGUGUUUAAGAAUUCUUACUUAGAUGGCAAAACUUCUGUCCAAGUAUCAGUCAAGGUUCUCCAGAGAAACAAAAUCAACAGGAGAGAGAGAGAGAGAGAGAGAGAGAGAGAGAGAGAGAGAGAGAGAGAGAGAGAUUAUAAGACAUUGGUACCCAUGACUACAGAACCUGAGGAAUCCCAGUCUGCUGUCUGCAACUAGAGACUAGGAAGGGGGAAGGUCUGCCCACAGAGGGCAGGAGGUUGAUGACCAGCUCACAGUCACUCACGGGGAGGUGAAUCCAAACUCCCUCCACGUUUUUAUUCUCAGGCCCUUAUAAGGAGAGAAGGGCUGGGUGAUGUUCACGCACAUUUGGGAGGGUCCCUGUUUUGCUCCAUGCACCAGUUUCAAUGCCCAUCUUUUCCAGAAUUAUCCUUAUAGACACACCCAGGGGGAAAAAAAAUGUUUCAUCACAUACCUGGGCAUCCUGUAGCCCAGGCAAGUUGACAUACAAAAUUACCCAUCACACAUCUAAGGAAACAAGAAAGGCAGAAAGCGUCACAAUAAAAGCCCUGAUGGUGGAUCUUGCUUCCAGGGGAGUGAGGAGGCUUUGAUGGGGGAAGGACAGCGGGGAGUCUUGGAGGUUGGGAGGUGUAUUGGUCCUCAGCCGUGGGUGAUGGUUACAGGGGCUUUUGCUUGCUAAUAAUUUGCUUAGCUGUACACCUCAAUUCAUGCUCUUCUCUCUGUGUGGCAUAUUUCAAAAUAAACAUAUUUUAAUAAAAGUACAAAUGGAUACAACAAAUAUGAAUUCCAUAUCUAUUAGGCACUGAUAUGGUUUAGAUAGGUGUCCCCCAAAGGCAUUUCUAUUCAGGCUUCAUCCCCAGCUCGUGGCACUAUGGGAGGUGGAGAAUCUUUAAGAGGCUGCGCCUAGUGGGAGUAAGUUAGGGCACUGGGGAAUGCUCUGGAAGGGCAGCCCCUUCUCCCUCCUCUCUGCCAGGUCCCAGCUACGAGAUGACUGGUGCUGCCAUGUGCUGCUGCUCUGCUGUGCCGCCUGGCCACAGGCCCCAAAGCAGUGGGGUCAACCAACCACAAAUGGGAACCUCCCAAACUGUGAGCCAAAAUAAACUUU